AUUGAACGCUGGCGGCAGGCCUAACACAUGCAAGUCGAGCGGAUGAGGGGAGCUUGCUCCUGGAUUCAGCGGCGGACGGGUGAGUAAUGCCUAGGAAUCUGCCUGGUAGUGGGGGAUAACGUCCGGAAACGGGCGCUAAUACCGCAUACGUCCUGAGGGAGAAAGUGGGGGAUCUUCGGACCUCACGCUAUCAGAUGAGCCUAGGUCGGAUUAGCUAGUUGGUGGGGUAAAGGCCUACCAAGGCGACGAUCCGUAACUGGUCUGAGAGGAUGAUCAGUCACACUGGAACUGAGACACGGUCCAGACUCCUACGGGAGGCAGCAGUGGGGAAUAUUGGACAAUGGGCGAAAGCCUGAUCCAGUCAUGCCGCGUGUGUGAAGAAGGUCUUCGGAUUGUAAAGCACUUUAAGUUGGGAGGAAGGGCAGUAAGUUAAUACCUUGCUGUUUUGACGUUACCAACAGAAUAAGCACCGGCUAACUUCGUG
Molecule: ribosomal RNA, 484 nt
Filed under: uncultured bacterium
Lineage: Bacteria
Description: partial 16S ribosomal RNA
Rfam family: Bacterial small subunit ribosomal RNA
Source: RNAcentral